Molecule: ribosomal RNA, 437 nt
Filed under: uncultured bacterium
Lineage: Bacteria
Description: partial 16S ribosomal RNA
Rfam family: Bacterial small subunit ribosomal RNA
Source: RNAcentral
AGCGAACGCUGGCGGCAGGCUUAACACAUGCAAGUCGAGCGGGCAUCCUUGUGGUGUCAGCGGCAGACGGGUGAGUAACGCGUGGGAACGUGCCCUUCGGUUCGAACUAACUCAGGGUAACUUGAGCUAAUACCGGAUACGUGCGAGAGCAGAAAGGUUUAUCUGCCUAAGGAUCGGCGCGCGUCUGAUUAGCUAGUUGGUGGGGUUAUGGCUCACCAAGGCGACGACCAGUAGCUGGUCUGAGAGGAUGCUCAGCCACACUGGGACUGAGACACGGCCCAGACUCCUACGGGAGGCAGCAGUGGGGAAUAAUGGACAAUGGGGGCAACCCUGAUGCAGCCAUGCCGGGUGAGUGAUGAUGGCGUUAGGGUUGUAAAGCUGUUUUCUCCGGGACGAUAAUGACGGUACCGGAGGAAUAAGCCCCGGCUAACUACGUG